ACCUCUGACUUCCUCAAUCCAUCUCUAGAGACUGCCUGUGGGAAACCUCUAUGCGGAACAGUUUGUCUCGUGUUGGACCUUGGAUCAGACCCUGGAAAUGUCUCGUCCCUAGGUACUACGUUACACGGACUAUUUCUGUGCAUAUGAACUUUGGCCUGGUCUGGCUGUCCCUUGUGAGUUUUCCUGCACAAGGAUUUAGGGAGAAGAAUUAG
Molecule: long non-coding RNA, 212 nt
Organism: Bufo bufo (common toad)
Lineage: Eukaryota; Metazoa; Chordata; Amphibia; Anura; Bufonidae
Exons: 3
Source: RefSeq, a predicted model, not a curated record